Molecule: ribosomal RNA, 336 nt
Filed under: uncultured eukaryote
Lineage: Eukaryota
Description: bacterial SSU rRNA
Rfam family: Eukaryotic small subunit ribosomal RNA
Source: RNAcentral
CACGCCGCACUGUCUGCCGAUUGGUAAGUACGGUUUGGCGGGUGCUUCCUUCCGGUGCUGCGUUCUGCUCUUAAUUGAGCGGUUCGUUGGUUCCGGUUCUUUUACUUUGAGAAAAUUAGAGUGUUCAAAGCAGGCCUAUGCUCUGAAUAGGUUAUCUUGGAAUAAUAGAAUAGGACUUUGGUUCUAUUUUGUUGGUUUCUAGGACCGAAGUAAUGAUUAAUAGGGACAGUUGGGGGCAUUCAUAUUCCAUUGUCAGAGGUGAAAUUCUUGUAUUAACGGAAGAUGAACUUUCUGCGAAAGCAUCUGUCAAGGAUGUUUUCAUUGAUCAAGAACUAA